RNAcentral lists this long non-coding RNA (1824 nucleotides) under Homo sapiens (human). RNAcentral's name for it is "HSALNT0130782". Lineage: Eukaryota; Metazoa; Chordata; Mammalia; Primates; Hominidae. The record is from RNAcentral.
GAGGCUUUAGGCCGCGCGGACCAGAGCCCGAAGCCGGGUUAGGCGUUGAGAGGCGGCUGAGGAGAAGCGGAGAGGAAGUGAGGGGGCCCGGAUUCCCACCCUGGCCUCACGGACCUUGGGCUGACCGGUCUGUCUGGCUUCAGCAGAGGGGAAGGUGUACAGCUCAGAUGAGGAGAAGCUGGAGGCAUCAGCAGGAGACCCAGCAGGCAGCGAACAGGAGGAAGAGGGCUCAGGCGGUGACAGCGAGGAUGACGGUUUCCUGGACAGUUCUGCAGGGGGCCCAGGGGCUCUUCUGGGACCUAAACCGAAGCUAAAGGGAAGCCUGGGGACUGGAGCUGAGGAGGGGGCACCGGUGACAGCAGGGGUCACAGCUCCUGGGGGGAAAAGCCGACGGCGCCGCACAGCAUUUACCAGCGAGCAGCUUUUGGAAUUGGAGAAGGAAUUUCAUUGCAAGAAAUACCUGAGCUUGACAGAGCGCUCUCAGAUCGCCCACGCCCUCAAGCUCAGUGAGGUGCAGGUCAAGAUCUGGUUUCAGAAUCGACGGGCCAAGUGGAAGCGCAUCAAAGCUGGCAAUGUGAGCAGCCGUUCUGGGGAGCCCGUAAGAAACCCCAAGAUUGUUGUCCCCAUACCUGUGCAUGUCAACAGGUUUGCUGUGCGGAGCCAGCACCAACAAAUGGAGCAGGGGGCCCGGCCCUGAAUGGGCACCCAAGAACUUAGGAAGGCGAGGGAUCUGUACCUGAGCCUGCUCUGAGACUGUCAGGGUUCUGUGGACCAGAGGGGCUGCAACUGUGAUUCUGCCUUGAGAGGGGCUAGUUGGCAAUUAACCUAGCCCUGGGUGUGCUCUUCCCAGACUCCUCCCAGAACCUGAGAUGUGAGCACUUGGCCCUGAGCCUGUUCCAGAGAACUUCAGGACUAGGGGCUUCAAGGUUAAAGGGGCUGGGGUUCUAUUGCUGAGGAGCUGUUGGGACUGAGGUGGACUCCUGGGGAGGGGGUGGGUUCUAAGAUGCCUAAGGCCUGAAGGUUCUGUGGCAAAUGCCCUGGAACAGCUUCUGAUGGGUGGAGGGAACAGGCGAUACCUAGCCAAGUAGAUCGCAGCUCCUUAUUUAUUUGUGUAAAUGUGUAUAUAUGGAGCUAUCUGUCUCUGUACGUCUGUCUGCACCCCUGAGAGGGAUUGGGAAAGUUGUUUCCUCAAUCCUCAGCCAGAGUUCGUCUGUCCUACUGCUUUGGGGUAGGCCCCAUCUUGCCUCUCUUUACAAAGAAAUGAAAUGCAACCGUCACUGGCCUCUGUAGAAAUUCUUCAGCACUCCCCUAUCUCCCCCACCCCACGUUAACUACCUCUACCCCCAUGCUUUUCCACUAGGGCUGCUCACCGCUUGCUCUUGUUUCUAUACCUCGGGCUCCUAACGUGCCAUCUCUUCCUGCUUCCCAUUAAACAGGCAAGCUUCUCCAGCUCUGUUUUCUCCUCCUUGGAUGAGCUGGAAAACUUUGGGAGAGAUUCACUUCACUUCCUGUUGCAUUUAGGUGGGGUAUGUCCAAGCCAUCUAACUUAGGGGGAGGUCACUAAUGACUGGGGCACUCAUAUCACCCGUGAGCUCAUGAAUAAAUUGUUUUCUAUGCAGAAGACACGGCAGCUUAGUCUGUCUCUGCCACCCUUUGAUAUUCCAGAUGCAAGGGCCUAGAGGGAAGGACCCACUUCCAGUUUUCUGUUCUUACAGCAUUAACUAUCAUCUCUUCUUCUCCUCUUUGCACCAUUUUUGAAGCUUGGGAUACCCCUACCUCUUCUGUUACAGAAUAAGAUUGGUUGAGGGGGGCCAUGGCUAAGUG